Molecule: transfer RNA, 65 nt
Filed under: Teredorus hainanensis
Lineage: Eukaryota; Metazoa; Arthropoda; Insecta; Orthoptera; Tetrigidae
Description: tRNA-Ala
Rfam family: tRNA
About the family: Transfer RNA (tRNA) molecules are approximately 80 nucleotides in length. Their secondary structure includes four short double-helical elements and three loops (D, anti-codon, and T loops). Further hydrogen bonds mediate the characteristic L-shaped molecular structure. tRNAs have two regions of fundamental functional importance: the anti-codon, which is responsible for specific mRNA codon recognition, and the 3' end, to which the tRNAs corresponding amino acid is attached (by aminoacyl-tRNA synthetases). tRNAs cope with the degeneracy of the genetic code in two manners: having more than one tRNA (with a specific anti-codon) for a particular amino acid; and 'wobble' base-pairing, i.e. permitting non-standard base-pairing at the 3rd anti-codon position.
Source: RNAcentral
AGGGUAAUAGUUAAAUAUAACAUUUGAAUUGCAAUCAAAAAGUAUUGUAAAAACAAUUUACCUUU